CCUACGGGUGGCUGCAGUGGGGAAUAUUGGGCAAUGGACGCAAGUCUGACCCAGCAACGCCGCGUGAAGGAAGAAGGCUCUCGGGUUGUAAACUUCCUUUUAGGGGGAAGAGCAGAAGACGGUACCCCUUGAAUAAGCCAUGGCUAACUACGUGCCAGCAGCCGCGGUAAUACGUAGGUCGCAAGCGUUGGCCGGAUUUACUGGGUGAAAAGGGUGUGCAGCCGGGCCGACAAGUCAGAUGUGAAACCCGCGGGCUUAACCCGCGAACUGCAUUUGAAACUAUUGGUCUUGAGUACCGGAGAGGUCAUCGGAAUUCCUGGUGUAGCGGUGAAAUGCGUAGAUAUAAGGAAGAACACCGGUGGCGAAGGCAGAGGACUGGACGGCAACUGACGGUGAGGCGCGAAAGCGUGGGGAGCAAACAGGAUUAGAUACCCUUGUAGUC
This 442-nucleotide ribosomal RNA is filed under the name uncultured bacterium. RNAcentral's name for it is "partial 16S ribosomal RNA". It matches the Rfam family "Bacterial small subunit ribosomal RNA", at positions 338 to 795 of the family's 1533-position model. The record is from RNAcentral.